This 332-nucleotide ribosomal RNA is filed under the name uncultured eukaryote. RNAcentral describes it as "partial 18S ribosomal RNA". It matches the Rfam family "Eukaryotic small subunit ribosomal RNA", at positions 1470 to 1796 of the family's 1831-position model. The record is from RNAcentral.
CCCUUAGAUGUUCUGGGCUGCACACGUGCUACACUGGCAGGUUCAGCGAGCUUCAUGCCCUGAUCUGAAAGGAAUGGGAAAUCUUUUCAAAACCUGCCGUGCUUGGGAUAGAUGUUUGCAAUUAUUCAUCUUCAACGAGGAUUGCCUUGUAGGCGCACGUCACCAGCGUGCAUUGAAUACGACCCUGUAUUCUGUACACACCGCCCGUCGCUCCUACCGAUUGAAGUUUUCGGUGAGUUGACAGGAGGAUUUUUUUGAAACUGGUUCGCCAGUGGAUUUUAGAUCCAAAUGCCAACGAAUCGAUGGCUUUAGAGGAAGGAGAAGUCGUAACA